RNAcentral lists this ribosomal RNA (265 nucleotides) under uncultured bacterium. RNAcentral's name for it is "partial 16S ribosomal RNA". It matches the Rfam family "Bacterial small subunit ribosomal RNA", at positions 71 to 334 of the family's 1533-position model. The record is from RNAcentral.
AAAGCUCCUUCGGGAGUGAGUAAAGUGGCGCACGGGUGAGUAACACUUGGGUAACAUACCCUUCUGAGGGGGAAAACCAGGGGAAACCCUGGCUAAUACCGCGUACGCCGGAAAUGACCUUGGUCGUUUUCGGGAAAGCCGUAAGGCGCAGAGGGAGUGGCCCGAGUCCCAUUAGUUUGUUGGUGGGGUAAUGGCCUACCAAGGCGACGAUGGGUAGCUGGUCUGAGAGGAUGAUCAGCCACACUGGUACUGGAACACGGACCAG